UACGUAGGCAGCGAGCGUUGUUCGGAAUUACUGGGCGUAAAGAGUGUGUAGGCGGUGCUCCAAGUCUGUUGUGAAAUCUCCCGGCUUAACUGGGAGGGUGCGGCGGAAACUGGUGUGCUAGAGGGUGGGAGAGGUAAGCGGAAUUCCUGGUGUAGCGGUGAAAUGCGUAGAUAUCAGGAGGAACACCUGUGGUGUAGACAGCUUACUGGACCACUUCUGACGCUGAGACACGAAAGCGUGGGUAGCAAACAGG
Molecule: ribosomal RNA, 253 nt
Filed under: uncultured bacterium
Lineage: Bacteria
Description: partial 16S ribosomal RNA
Rfam family: Bacterial small subunit ribosomal RNA
Source: RNAcentral